GUCGCUUGCCGAAUGCAAAAUUUUCGUUUUCUGCUUUGUGCGGUGCUUCUUUCGGUGUCUGAAUAUCCGUUAUGGAAAAUUCAUCAUUAAAGUUUUAAUAUUUUAACAAUGUUAUAAUAAUAGUUACUUAUAGUUACUAGACUUAUAGUUUAUUCAAAUUAUUAUGCUUGCAUUUUAAUAUAGAAUAAAUGUCAUUAAUUUGAUAAAGUGUUGAUAAAUUAAAAUUAAUACAGUGCGUUAAUUUUUCGAAAUUAUAUAAUGGCAUAAUUAUCAUUGAUUUUUGUGUUUAUUAUAUGCAUUUGUAUGAUUAACAAUGCGAAAUAUUCAGGAUACUUUCGGGACCCGUCUUGAAACACGGACCAAAGGAGUCUAACAUAUGUGCAAGUUAUUGGGAGAUAAAACUAAUAGCGUAAUUAACUUGACUAAUAAUGGUAUUAGUUUUUUAACUAUUUAUAGAUAAUUUACACAAUCCUGGGGCGUUCUAUAUAGUUAUGUAUAAUAAUAUUUAUAGUAUUUAUGCCUCUAACUGGAACGUACCUUGAGCAUAUAUGCUGUGACCCGAAAGAUGGUGAACUAUACUUGAUCAGGUUGAAGUCAGGGGAAACCCUGAUGGAACACCGAAACAGUUCUGACGUGCAAAUCGAUUGUCAGAAUUGAGUAUAGGGGCGAAAGACCAAUCGAACCAUCUAGUAGCUGGUUCCUUUCGAAGUUUCCCUCAGGAUAGCUGGUGCAUUUUAAUGUUAUAUAAAAUAAUCUUAUCUGGUAAAGCGAAUGAUUAGAGGCCUUAAGGUCGAAACGAUCUUAACCUAUUCUCAAACUUUAAAUGGGUAAGAACCUUAACUUUCUCGAUAUGAAGUUUAAGGUUAUGAUAUAAUGUGCCCAGUGGGCCACUUUUGGUAAGCAGAACUGGCGCUGUGGGAUGAACCAAACGUAAUGUUACGGUGCCCAAAUUAACAACUCGUGCAAAAACCAUGAAAGGCGUUGGUUGCUUAAAACAGCAGGACGGUGAUCAUGGAAGUCGAAAUCCGCUAAGGAGUGUGUGACAACUCACCUGCCGAAGCAACUAGCCCUUAAAAUGGAUGGCGCUUAAGUUGUAUACCUAUAAAUUACCGCUAAAGUAGAUGAUUUAUAUUACUCGUGAUAUAAAUUUUGAAACUUUAGUGAGUAGGAAGGUACAAUGGUAUUUAUUUAUUUAUUAAAUUAACAAAUUAUCUGUUAAUAAUGGUACUUAGUUACUAAAGGCGGAAAAAGAGAAUUUAAAAGUUAGCUAAAUUUAAGUGAUUAUAAAUAUUGCAUGCAAUUAGUUUAAGAGACAGUUCAGGGGAUAGGGUUUGGCAGAGGGAGCUAUAAUUAUGGCAUAAAACCCUAAAAGGUUCAUGAUCAGCAUAAUUAGACCUACAUAUGGGUAGACGGAUAGGCCUAAAAGUACGGGUAGGUCUAGAUGGAACGGCCAAGUCAAUCUGACCCAAGAGAGUUUGGGAGUCAACAGACCCGAGAAGGAGCUUGUGCACGAACAUUACGCCAUUGCAUAUUCUGCGAUGGUGCAACGACGGCAGGUCAAUAAGAUUUAGCCUAGACCGGUAGGGUGGCAAGAUUCUACCCGAGUCCCAGUUAAAGUUCCGAAGGGAAAAAAUUAAAAAUUGCUUUUGCACGGAUUCAAUAACAGCCUGCUGCUCUUUAUACUGCGGGCUCCACACACAAGAACAAUACUCCAAUAUAGGACGUACUAACGAGAUGUACAGUUGUUUCGUAACGUACGGGUCGUCAAACUCCUUGGACCAACGCUUGAUGAACGCUAAAACACCCCUAGCUUUAUUUACAGUUGCAGCUAUAUGAGUGUUAAAACACAUCUUAUGAUCAAAAAGGACGAGGUCAUUUGAACUCGAAAUUCGCUCAAGGACAUGAUUUCCUAGAACAUAUGAGACAAAAUGAGGAGCACGACGGUAAAAUGUCAUAAGUUUGCAUUUGGAAAGGUUCAGAAAAAGAAGAUUAGUUGAACACCACAAUAGUAGGUCACUUAGAUCAAGUAGAAGGCGUGUGUGCAAAUACCAAUCAGAGUAAGAAAGACAGAUUUGAACAUCAUCAGCAUACAUUAGUGUAGUAGAGAAUGUUAUAACUUUGAGGAAGAUCAUUCACAAAAUAAAAUAAACAGAAGCGGGCCCAGAUGACUUCCCUGUGCCACACCUGAAGUAACAUUAUUUGACAACACGUAAGAAAACAAAACACGUUGAGUACGGUUAGAGAGAUAGGACAAAAUCCAAUCUAGAAGAUUCGUUAGGAACCCUAAUAAAGAGAGCUUGUGAAUAAGCAGAGCAAGGUUCACAGAAUCGAAUUUCUUGCUGAAGUCCGUAAAAACUACAUCCGUCUGCAAACCAAUUUGAAAACCACGGUGGAUUAGGUUAGAAAACUCAAGAAGGUUAGUCGAUGUUGAACGAUGUCUGAAAAAACCGUGUUGCGACGGAGAUAUCAAGCUGCAACAAAGAUGUUGCAGUUGCCGGAAAAGGAAAAGCGUUUGACUUGCACUUAGAGUUAACGAACGAAUAUAAUUUUUUAGGAUCACUACGAAAGUUACUACUACAUUGUGAAAGGUAAUGAUUAUAACACUGACUAUUAACGGCAAGGAACAGAGAGCGAGCGGAGGAGUAUAGAGCUAAGGCCGACGUGGAGCCCGACUUCUGGUACUUUUUAUAGAGCCGGGAUUUAUUAUUUGUUAAGUAUGACAAAUACUUGGAGAACCAGGGAGGCUUGGACGAUACAGGUACAGUGAUAUCUGGAACAAAAGUAUUAAGGGCGGAGUAAAUAGAACUAUAAAACGAGUUAACAGUUGCAGAUAGAAGUAGAAGUGUUUGGCGUAAGCCUUCAUGGAGCUGCCAUUGGCACAGAUCUUGGUGGUAGUAGCAAAUAAUCGAAUGAGACCUUGGAGGACUGAAGUGGAGAAGGGUUUCGUGUGAACAGUGGUUGAUCACGAGUUAGUCGGUCCUAAGUUCAAGGCGAAAGCCGAAAAUUUUCAAGUAAAAAAUCAGUGAGUAAUAUUGUCAAAUCUUCUAUGAUUUUUAAAUACUUGAAUAAUUUUGAACGAAAGGGAAUACGGUUCCAAUUCCGUAACCUGUUGAGUAUCCGUUUGUUAUUAAAUAUGGGCCUCGUGUUCAUCCUGGCAACAGGAACGACCAUAAGGAAGCCAUCGAGAGAUAUCGGAAGAGUUUUCUUUUUUCUUUUAUAGCCGUACUACCAUGGAAGUCUUUCGCAGAGAGAUAUGGUAGAUGGGCUAGAAGAGCAUACAUACAUGUAUGACAUGUACAUGACAUUUACAUGAUAUUUUCUCCUCGGACCUGAAAAUUUA
This is a non-coding RNA of Drosophila persimilis, 3340 nucleotides long. The record is from Rfam. NCBI's taxonomy places the organism in Eukaryota, Metazoa, Arthropoda, Insecta, Diptera, Drosophilidae.